RNAcentral lists this ribosomal RNA (253 nucleotides) under uncultured bacterium. Its description in RNAcentral is "partial 16S ribosomal RNA". It matches the Rfam family "Bacterial small subunit ribosomal RNA", at positions 524 to 776 of the family's 1533-position model. The record is from RNAcentral.
UACGAAGGUGGCAAGCGUUACUCGGAAUUACUAGGCGUAAAGGGCAGGUAGGUGGUUUGAUAAGUCUGUUGUGUAAGCUCCUGGCUUAACUGGGAGAGGUCAACGGAAACUAUCAGGCUGGAGUAUGGGAGAGGGUACUGGAAUUCCCGGUGUAGCGGUGAAAUGCGCAGAGAUCGGGAGGAACACCAAAGGCGAAAGCAGGUACCUGGACCAUUACUGACACUCAGCUGCGAAAGCUAGGGGAGCAAACAGG